Long non-coding RNA from Bacillus rossius redtenbacheri, 7083 nucleotides. RefSeq lists it as uncharacterized. The transcript has 16 exons. The record is from RefSeq and is a predicted model, not a curated record. NCBI's taxonomy places the organism in Eukaryota, Metazoa, Arthropoda, Insecta, Phasmatodea, Bacillidae.
UCUAAAAAUAACCCGGUAACCAUGGUAACGGCGCACCACACAGCGCCUCGCGCGCGCUUUUACUGCACUUUUACACUUGUUCCUCAGCAAGGCGGGACUGCGGACUGCUGGUCGCUGCAACAGGCAGUCUUCAGGACUGCUACAUGUACCGGGCUGCAGGGGGUAGCAGCAGGGCGACUUACGGCCCGAUGGCUCGUCACAUCACAGCACGGCGUCCCAGCUGCAGCAGAUGAAGACGGGCAACUCCCACCACACGACUACAUGGCGGUCGUCGGGCCGUGCUGUGGGCGAGACUCGCCACGUCAUCGCUCAACCGGACAACGCAACCUCACCAGACUCACCAGCGACGCGGGACUGCGGACUGCUGGUCGCUGCAACAGGCAGUCUUCAGGACUGCUACAUGUACCGGGCUGCAGGGGGUAGCAGCAGGGUGACUUACAGCCCGAUGGCUCGUCACAUCACAGCACGGCGUCCCAGCUGCAGCAGAUGAAGACGGGCAACUCCCACCACACGACUACAUGGCGGUCGUCUGGCCGUGCUGUGGGCGAGACUCGCCACGUCAUCGCUCAACCGGACAACGCAACCUCACGAGACUCACCAGCAAGGCGGGACUGCGGACUGCUGGUCGCUACAACAGGCAGUCUUCAGGACUGCUCCCGUACCGGGCUGCAGGGGGUAGCAGCAGGGCGACUUACGGCCCGAUGGCUCGUCACAUCACAGCACGGCGUCCCAGCUGCAGCACAUGAAGACGGGCAACUCCCACCACACGACUACAUGGCGGUCGUCUGGCCGUGCUGUGGGCGAGACUCGCCACGUCAUCGCUCAACCGGACAACGCAACCUCACGAGACUCACCAGCAUGGCGGGACUGCGGACUGCUGGUCGCUGCAACAGGCAGUCUUCAUGAAUGCUACAAGUACCGGGCUGCAGGGGGUAGCAGCAGGGUGACUUACGGCCCGAUGGUGAGUGGCUCGAGGCAAUCAGGGGCACUGCUGACACGAGGGACACUGCACAGCACAAGGGUCGUUCUGCAGGCUCGUCACAUCACAGCACGGCGUCCCAGCUGCAGCAGAUGAAGACGGGCAACUCCCACCACACGACUACAUGGCGGGCGUCUGGCCGUGCUGUGGGCGAGACUCGCCACGUCAUCGCUCAACCGGACAACGCAACCUCACGAGACUCACCAGCAAGGCGGGACUGCGGACUGCUGGUCGCUGCAACAGGCAGUCUUCAGGACUGCUACAAGUACCGGGCUGCAGGGGGUAGCAGCAGGGUGACUUACGGCCCGAUGGUGAGUGGCUCGAGGCAAUCAGGGGCACUGCUGACACGAGGGACACUGCACAGCACAAGGGUCGUUCUGCAGGCUCGUCACAUCACAGCACGGCGUCCCAGCUGCAGCAGAUGAAGACGGGCAACUCCCACCACACGACUACAUGGCGGUCGUCUGGCCGUGCUGUGGGCGAGACUCGCCACGUCAUCGCUCAACCGGACAACGCAACCUCACGAGACUCACCAGCAUGGCGGGACUGCGGACUGCUGGUCGCUGCAACAGGCAGUCUUCAUGAAUGCUACAAGUACCGGGCUGCAGGGGGUAGCAGCAGGGUGACUUACGGCCCGAUGGCUCGUCACAUCACAGCACGGCGUCCCAGCUGCAGCAGAUGAAGACGGGCAACUCCCACCACACGACUACAUGGCGGUCGUCGGGCCGUGCUGUGGGCGAAACUCGCCACGUCAUCGCUCAACCGGACAACGCAACCUCACGAGACUCACCAGCGAAGCGGGACUGUGAACUGCUGGUCGCUGCAACAGGCAGUAUUCAGGACUGCUCCCGUACCGGGCUGCAGGGGGUAGCAGCAGGGUGACUUACAGCCCGAUGGCUCGUCACAUCACAGCACGGCGUCCCAGCUGCAGCAGAUGAAGACGGGCAACUCCCACCACACGACUACAUGGCGGGCGUCUGGCCGUGCUGUGGGCGAGACUCGCCACGUCAUCGCUCAACCGGACAACGCAACCUCACCAGACUCACCAGCGACGCGGGACUGCGGACUGCUGGUCGCUGCAACAGGCAGUCUUCAGGACUGCUCCCGUACCGGGCUGCAGGAGGUAGCAGCAGGGUGACUUACAGCCCGAUGGCUCGUCACAUCACAGCACGGCGUCCCAGCUGCAGCAGAUGAAGACGGGCAACUCCCACCACACGACUACAUGGCGGGCGUCUGGCCGUGCUGUGGGCGAGACUCGCCACGUCAUCGCUCAACCGGACAACGCAACCUCACCAGACUCACCAGGGAGUAUGUGGAGACUAGUGGCCUAAGCGGAAGUACAGCAGACACAGUGGUAACAACCUGACGGAAGCUCUACCUGGACAGCUGAGGCACCCCACACAGUUACCGAACACAAGUGAGGAAAUCAAUGGCGCUACGCACAGUCCUUAUGACACUGGAAAUUUACCUGGUGUUGUGGCUGCAGUGGACUGCACUCUUGUUCCCGUAGCAAAUCCUGGAGAUACAGGAGAAGUGAUUGGAAACAGAUGUGGGAUUUUUUCCCUGAAUGUCCUGGUUGGUUUAGUUUCAAUUAAAUUAUGUCUCAUUUUCAUUCAUAAAGACGAGUUUCCAUUUGUUUGAAUACAAAUAUACAUUUUCAUUCGAGCUUGAUGAAAAUAUUGUACACUUGACCUUGGAAACAAGAGGAAGAUCACAGUCUACAUAAAAUUUCGUAAAACCAGCCCCAUUCAACUUUCCCAUCCCUAAAACCUAAAUUUUGACAUCUGACAUUCAAGAUAUAAGGAAAAUUACUGUCUAAAUUUGACACUGAAUAAAACUACCCCCCCAAUUACUUAUCCACCAGUAUUGUUAAUAACCUCUUGUAAUAAUUACAUUUUGUAAUGGAACUUCUCCUUAAAAAAAUAAACCUUAUCACAUUACAUAACAUACGUAUAUAAAAUAACCUAUAUACAAUGUGCUGUAAAAUAUACUUUGGUGACAAAUUGCAUAACGAAAUUUGAUGUAUUUUUAAAUUUUUGAAGUAAUUAUUUGCAAUAAUUAAUUUCAAAAUGGUUCGGUUUAUUCAAUCAAACAAGAGUAUGACUUCUAACAUGUGUAUAUAAUUACACAGCAACUUUUUUUAAGCGGUAUCUUAUUGUACAGCAAAUGUAUUUUUUGGUGCAGGUUGCUUUAAGUACACAAAUUAUUGACAUUUGUGGCACAAGACUUUUUUGAUGGGGCAGGACUCCAGGUUUGCUUCAAAGAACAACAUAUAAAGGGAAUUAUGCUAGAAGACAUACCUACUCACACCAUGGCUAAAUCCACAGACAGAUGCUGAAGAAAGAUACAGUGUAGCUCAUAUCCGAACUAAAAAUGUUGUGGAAAGGAUGUUUGGUGUCUGGAAGCAAAAAUUCUGCUGCCUUACAAAAAAAAACUGGCACAUAAACCUGAAAACAUUGUUGCAAUAAUUUGUGCAACUGCUGUACUGCACAAUAUUAGCAUAAAUCUCGAAGAUGAAUUACCACGGAUUCAUUUGUUUUGUUCAGCAGUUGCUGGGAAUCGUAACAGAUGUAACCUUAUUUGUGCAGAUUUCAUUUGAUGUCGGUUUGUGUAAUUUAUUUUACAUAUUCGGUUACAAACAUGGAAAACUGGAAAAAUCAAAGAACUGUAUUUACAAAGUACAAAAGUUUAUUCACUUUUGAACAAUAGUACUAAAGCAAAUUUUCACGUGUAUUUUCUGCAUUAUGCGACAUAUUUAUAUUUUCUUUGUUCAGAAUAUGAUUUGCUGCGAGUCAGCUCUAAUGUAUCAGGAGUCUGGCCUAAACACACAAAUUCCAUUUAAUUGGAAAUCAUUUAUGUUGAAGUAAAACAACAAUUAUUUAAUAUUUUAUGUAGAGUCAAUAAUAAAUAACCUAACAGGUACGCCAAGUUAAAAAAUACAGGUUUCUGGAGCCUUUCGGAAGUGUUUUUGCUGUAUACAGAAAUUUGCACAAUUCACAUUACUGUGCAUAAAAUUUUUGUUCACCCAAUUGGUAACAAAUUAAAACAUACAGCUGGUACACAACCAUGCUUGGUAUACCAUGUAUCAUCUUGUCACCAAACAUGAAUACAUACAAACAUUGCCAUGUGACACACAUAAAGCAUCUGUAAAUACAUAUAUUGUUUAAAAUUUGUCAGCUCGUGGUUUUAAAUUAGAGUAUUACAACAAAUUAAUUUAUGAUGUGUAAAAAGUAUCAACAAAGUUUAGUGUAAGCGACUUAGGUGUGCACCGAGUAUUCCGUAAUUGAAGGCGAGUGAUAGCUUAUUUAAAUGCUUUAUUGUGACAAGUUUCAACUAGCAAAAGACAUAUAUAAUUGAAAGUUUUCUCAAAGUUCAAGUUAUAGAUAUUUUUUUAAUCACAAUUGUAGAGACAUUUGAAUUAUUUUUAUCAGUUUGCGAGAAGUUAAUUGGUAAAUUUGUAAAUAGUUUUCAACUAACUUUUGUACGCAUUUUAAAUAUUAAUUGUGCUGUCAUUAACUUGAUUGUUAUGUGUAAAUUUUACUACAGCAGAUCCAUUAAGUUAAAGUUCUGAUGAACUGGAAUGUAAUGUUGUUCGGCCUUGUUUAAUUUUGCAGAAAACGUUGUACAAAUAAUAAUUAAAGCAAAGGGCUUUUUUAUAAUUUGCAUAAUCUUAUAUUACCAGCUGUGUAAUAAUGUGUUAUUCGUGUUCAUAGAAACUAUCAUUCAUGAGUACAACUGUACUUCCACACACAUGGUACAAACCAGAGAACAUGUUCAAUGUUUAUGUUUGGUAGAAAUUUAAUUUGAAAAAAAAAAUUACAUAUACACAAAGCACUUCUCUCACUUGUUAUUAAAAACUACUCUCUAGAGUUGCAUCUCACGGGGUACAGCAGUGGGCGAGAAACGCACCACUCUGCUUUCGAGCAAGUGUGCCAUGCAUAGGAGUUAGCCAUGCUCUCUGGGUUUAACAUGAAAAGGUCAUCUAAUAAUUGUACAUUUUUUGUGUAUUUUUUUGUUGUACUACCACACAAUGCCUUUUACAGGGACCAUGUGAAUCCAGAUGCUGACAAAAGAACCGUUGCUGCGUCUACUAACCAACUAGAACAUAGGCAGUUUUGACCCAAACACGAGCUGAGAGGAAUAGCAUGCGAGUCCUACAAAACGAAAAUAACUUCUCAGGGAACUAGUGAAAUCAAUAAUACAGGAUUCCUAAAUAAUUAUUUCAAAAAGAAUUCUGUAAAUCCUGUCAUAGAUAAAUUAGUGAAUUUACUGUACACUCAAAGCAGUAAAUGUAAUUGAAUUUCUGGGAAAAGUUCAUGAUAUAAGGAAUCAGGAUUUAAUAAGUGAUAAUGCUUUGUUUGAGCUGUUAAUGUUAAAGAGUUCCUAGUGAAGUGCAGUACUGUAGGGCCGCGACGUCUUGGCGGGUGGACUCCCUAGAGCUCAGUGACCUUGUAAUCGACACGUCCCGCCUUGUCUGCUCCGCAGAUAGCAACGGCCUGGAAGUCUUCAUGCCGUUCCGAAAACAUUGGUCCAGUACAAUCUCACGUACGGUGCAGCACAGCGCAGAUCUUAAUGAUACAAAGAUGCGAUAAUGCUUUACGAUAGGGGACCCCAGGAAGCCAGCAGCAUAAGCGAAUGAGAAGCGACAGAGCAGCCUGCAUCGCUCCCACGCGUCAUGCUGCCAGACGGAGGAGCAGUGAACAUUCAGCUGGCAAUACACCAGGUGUUAUUUUGCAAAAAGGACUCGGCCCAUCUUCAGCGAGGACGAGUGCAGAACCCAGAAUGAGUACGCAGGCGUCCGAGAGGUGAUCAGCCACGCACACGUGUAGUAGUUGUACCGGCCGAGUCUACUAGGGACCUGUGCAGUGCGAGUAGACUUUGGGAAUUUUGGUUUCAAGCAAGCCUAGCAUACAGUGAUGAAAGUUGUAAGCAAAUUUAAAGGACAGUCAACCAUGAAAGUUUUAAGGCGGUUGAGCUCGGCGGGCAAAAGGUGCAGACGGCUAUAUUGACGCACACUCUUGACCACCAGACUGACAUAGCACAAGUCACAAACUAACCAAGGUGCUCUAUCCGGAAAGUUGUGUUCACUGCUUACUACAUGAACCGGUUGGAGACCGUACAGCUGAGUUCUACUCAUCGUUGCCAAGAUCGCCGGACGAGUCGGCAACCGAGUCGCAGCUCAGGAAACUGGGAGGCAGGCGUCUGGGUGUGCUGAGGCGACGAGAGGACAUUGCCGAGCGAGUGCGGGAAGCAGAGCAGUCCACUCGCUGUGGGGACCUGUCUGCACAGCCGCACGACUGAGACACCUUACUGACAGCUUAAACACUUUACUGUUUACUGUGAGAAGUUUCAACUAGCAAAAGACAUGUAUAAUUGAAAGUUUUCUCAGAGUUAAUGUUAUGUAUUAUUUUGAAAUCGCAAUUGUAGAGACAUUUGAAUUAUUUUAUUCAAGUUGCGAGAAGUUAAUCGGUAAAUUUGUAAUUUGUUUGAAAGUAACUUUUUUAAGCAUGUUAAAUAUUACUUGUGCUGUCACUAACUUGAUUGUUACGUGUAAAUUUUUCUACCGCCAAUCCAUUAAGUUAAAGUUCACUCAUAAUUAAAGUUCAAAUGAACUGGAAUGUAAUAUUGUACGACCUUGUUUAAUUUUGCAGAAAACGUUGUACAAAUAAUAAUUAAAGCAACUGCCUUUUAUAUAUAUAAAUUGCGUAAUCUUACAUUACCAGCUGUGUUAUCACGUUUUGUUUGUGUUCAUAGGAACUAUUAUUCAUGAGUACAGCUGUACUACCAGACCCAGUAUAUGAACCAGAGAAAAUGGUAAAUGUUUGUGUUUGUUGGAAAUUUAACUUGAAAAUAAAAUUACAUGUAUGCAAAGCAUUUCUCUCGCUCGUUAUUAAAAACUACCGUCUAGUGUUGCAUUUCACGGGGUACAGCACUGGGCAAGAAAUAUAUUAAAAUAAUGUGGAAUGUGUAAUAAAUUUUAAUCUUAUUUUUGUCCUAAUAUAAUAUACCAGUCACAUUGCCAUGUUGAUGGAAUUUUUAAUGUUGGAAUGUACAAGCUACUGUUGACAUUAUUUACUUGGUAAAUAAAUGCACUAGUGAAAAAC